UACGUAGGGUGCGAGCGUUAAUCGGAAUUACUGGGCGUAAAGCGUGCGCAGGCGGUUUUGUAAGGCAGGUGUGAAAUCCCCGGGCUUAACCUGGGAAUGGCAUUUGGGACUGCAAGGCUUGAGUGCGGCAGAGGAGACUGGAAUUCCUGGUGUAGCAGUGAAAUGCGUAGAUAUCAGGAGGAACACCGAUGGCGAAGGCAGGUCUCUGGGCUGACACUGACGCUCAUGCACGAAAGCGUGGGGAGCAAACAGG
This 253-nucleotide ribosomal RNA is filed under the name uncultured bacterium. RNAcentral's name for it is "partial 16S ribosomal RNA". It matches the Rfam family "Bacterial small subunit ribosomal RNA", at positions 524 to 776 of the family's 1533-position model. The record is from RNAcentral.